GCCCAAUGUCGCACGUGCCGAUGGGCGUCCCCCGGUCCUCACGAUAGCGAGGAUGAACCGGGACGGUACCUGGACGUAACACACCCAGUCGGUUUCGCGAGCCGCGCGACAACCGAGGACGCUUGAAGCAACGACGGUUCGGGCCUUU
Molecule: small RNA, 148 nt
Organism: Fulvimarina pelagi HTCC2506
Lineage: Bacteria; Pseudomonadati; Pseudomonadota; Alphaproteobacteria; Hyphomicrobiales; Aurantimonadaceae
Rfam family: Alphaproteobacterial sRNA ar45
Source: Rfam